RNA transcript from Mustela erminea (ermine), 1809 nucleotides. It is a transcript of the gene named lymphocyte specific protein 1, with no coding region annotated. Lineage: Eukaryota; Metazoa; Chordata; Mammalia; Carnivora; Mustelidae. The transcript is spliced from 12 exons. The record is from RefSeq and is a predicted model, not a curated record.
GAAGGGGACCUGAAACCGGCUGGGGGAGGGGCUCUGGGGCCGCCAGAGGAAGCACCCAGAACCACAGCGCAGACACACGGCCCGGAUCGGCCCGACGCCAGCCCGAUGGCGGAGGCUCCCAGCCACCCCAGCUCUGAGGAGCAGGAAGAGCUCCUGGCCGAGAAAGACUCGGGGCUCACCACUCAGUGGAGUGUCGAAGAUGAGCAAGAGGCCGCCCGGGAGCGGCGCCGUCGGGAGAGGGACAGCAAGCUGCGGGCCCAGGACGAGGACGGGGGCAGCCGGGCCCCCCAGCUGCCUGAGCAGGAGACCCUCCUCAGCCUGAAGCCCGCAGAGGCUCCGGAACCGGAUGAGGAUGAGGGUUUCAGCGACUGGUCCCAGAAGCCUGAGCAGCAGCAGCAGCAGCAGCACCGGGGGGCUGGGGAGGCCCCUUGGGGCGAGAGUCCAGAGGGCCAGCAAGAGGAGGAGGACAGGCCCCACCAGCACACCUGCGGGAGCCAGGAUGCAGACGAGCAGAGCCCGGCCAGCGUCUGCCUGGAGGAGCUGCGUCUGAGCCCCAGCUCCGAGCUCCAGGCAGGGCCGGGAGCAGAGGAGACCCAGUCCAGGAGCCCGGAGGGGACUGUCCAGGGCAGCCUGGGGCCAGGAGACGCUGGAGAGACAGAAGAGCAGCACCACAAAAGCCAGCAGCCCAGGACACCCAGCCCCCUGGCCUUGGAGGACGCUACCGAACAGAGCUCACCUCCCCUGAGCCCCAGCACCAAACUCAUCGACAGAACCGAGUCCCUGAACCGCUCCAUCAAGAAGAGUAACAGCGUGAAGAAGUCCCAGCCAGCCCUGCCCAUCUCCAAGAUCGACGAGCGGCUGGAGCAGUACACUCAGGCCGUCGAGGCUCCUUCUGCUCCGCAGACCGCCGGCCGGGCCUCCAGGCUAGUGCGCCAGCCCUCCAUCGAGCUGCCCAGCAUGGCCGUGGCCAGCACCAAGAGCCGGUGGGAGACGGGAGAGGUGCAGGCCCAGUCCACGGCCAAGGCCCCCUCCUGCAAGGAUAUUGUAGCUGGAGACAUGAGCAAGAAAAGCCUCUGGGAGCAGAAAGGAGGCUCCAAGGCGCCAUCAACAAUGAAGAGCACCCCAUCUGGAAAGAGGUACAAGUUCGUGGCCACUGGACACGGGAAGUAUGAGAAGGUGCUCGUGGACGAGGGCUCGGGGCCCUAGGCGGCCCUUCCUGAUGCUGCUCUCCCGCGAACGGCUUCACCUUUUUCCAGCUCCGCGCCGCAGGGGAGCUCGGACCUCCUUCCGGGAGGCCGGGGCAGGAAAGGGACUGUCACUGGUGAUUGACCCAAGGAGCCACCCGUCACAGAGGCCAAGGGUUCCCAAGGAAGGCCCAGGAUGGGCCAAGAGAGAGCACCUGCCUGGGGAUCUCCAGGUCAAGAGACAGCACCUCCUGCACCACACGCUCGGGCCCAGCCAGCCCCCAGCCCCUGCUUGCAGCCUCCUCCUGCCAGUGCAAUAAAGCCCUCGUGUGUGCCAGAUGCUCAUUCUGUGUUCACUAAUUGGGGGAGGGACACGGGAGCGGUGUCAGCCCAGUCGGGGAGCCCUCCCCACCCACCCUAGACAGUGGUAGCACCCAGGCCUCCGGCCUCCAGGUUCCGACACCUUGUCCUGUCCCUGCCUUCUGCAGUGUUUGACUCUGGGAUCCGAGGUGUAUGGUGGCUUAAGUGCGGGGCUCAUGACGGUUGAGAUCCGGUCCUCCUCUCCCAGAGCACCUGUGAUGCUUCCCGCCUUGACUGGCCUGAUUAAACUUUACUGUGCUUGAAA